AGUGAACGCUGGCGGUAGGCCUAACACAUGCAAGUCGAACGGCAGCACAGUAAGAGCUUGCUCUUACGGGUGGCGAGUGGCGGACGGGUGAGGAAUACAUCGGAAUCUACUUUUUCGUGGGGGAUAACGUAGGGAAACUUACGCUAAUACCGCAUACGACCUACGGGUGAAAGCAGGGGAUCUUCGGACCUUGCGCGAUUGAAUGAGCCGAUGUCGGAUUAGCUAGUUGGCGGGGUAAAGGCCCACCAAGGCGACGAACCGUAGCUGGUCUGAGAGGAUGAUCAGCCACACUGGAACUGAGACACGGUCCAGACUCCUACGGGAGGCAGCAGUGGGGAAUAUUGGACAAUGGGCGCAAGCCUGAUCCAGCCAUACCACGUGGGUGAAGAAGGCCUUCGGGUUGUAAAGCCCUUUUGUUGGGAAAGAAAAGCAGCAGGUUAAUACCCCGCUGUUCUGACGGUACCCAAAGAAUAAGCACCGGCUAACUUCGUG
This 492-nucleotide ribosomal RNA is filed under the name uncultured bacterium. RNAcentral's name for it is "partial 16S ribosomal RNA". It matches the Rfam family "Bacterial small subunit ribosomal RNA", at positions 29 to 507 of the family's 1533-position model. The record is from RNAcentral.